RNAcentral lists this long non-coding RNA (267 nucleotides) under Bos taurus (domestic cattle). RNAcentral describes it as "long non-coding RNA NONBTAT017519". The record is from RNAcentral. Lineage: Eukaryota; Metazoa; Chordata; Mammalia; Artiodactyla; Bovidae.
GGCUUAAAUGCUAAAUCUGACAGCCUCCAGGUUUUAGGUAUUAUUGAACCAGAAAUCAAGAACAAACAGAUCUAAGUUCAGAUGAGCUCAGUUAGUGAUUUGACCCUAACAGGCCAGAUUCAUUUUGGUUAUUAUGUCUGCAUCUGGCUCCAGCUGCUAGUAGUUUGAAGCUCUGUUGCAAUGUGGCAAUAGCCUUCAAAUGACAGACAUGAUUUCUAAGAAAUUCUCAGAGGCAAAUUAUAAAAAGUAUGGCAUUCCAGAAGUAAA